UUCCGCACUGUGUCUGCCCAUUA
This 23-nucleotide non-coding RNA is filed under the name Mus musculus (house mouse). Lineage: Eukaryota; Metazoa; Chordata; Mammalia; Rodentia; Muridae. The record is from RNAcentral.